This 653-nucleotide long non-coding RNA is filed under the name Marmota monax (woodchuck). The record is from RNAcentral. Lineage: Eukaryota; Metazoa; Chordata; Mammalia; Rodentia; Sciuridae.
CGCAUGCUGUUGGCCUUUCUAGAGGGACAGACAGAUAUGGCCUGUUUUCCUGGCAGGAAAUGACAGAAAUAGUUGUCAGCAAUUGUGAGAUUCCCCAGUGCAUCCUCAUCGCUGUGACAGUACCCCCACAGUGUGGCAUAUCACGGGAGGGGAAGAAAACAAUGAGGCAGAGGACAGGAAGUUAAAUACAUUUGUCACGGAGUAACAGAAUCAGAAAGCCCCCAAGUUCAGGGCUCCAAGGUGAUGGUGUCAGCUGUUUCUUAAUUUCACCAGCAAGAAACCCAAGCUAAUCAGGUGAGAAGACCCCUCACAAAGCAGUCUCCGCCAUCCAGGGUCAGUCUCCACUGACGGGCAGGAUACUUCACCAAGAGGUUGGGUAAAUUUCUCAGAUCUGGACCCUUCUACCUAUAGCAAAUGGUUGAAAGGUUUCUUAUUCACCUUAAAGCUCAAACUCCAGCUCCACUGAUGAGUCUGGGCACCACAAGUUUACAGUGGGGGAUGGGACUGGAAGGCUUCUCUCAUUUCCCAAUAUAUCAAACUUGACCGCACCCAGAUGAACUGAGGCUCUUCCCUGCCUUCUGCAACAGGCCCCUUGGCAGAUGGGUCUCCGAGCAGAUAAUUAUUUAUAAAAUUUACUUCAGUCAGAUCAGUUA